RNAcentral lists this ribosomal RNA (933 nucleotides) under uncultured organism. RNAcentral describes it as "bacterial SSU rRNA". It matches the Rfam family "Bacterial small subunit ribosomal RNA", at positions 94 to 1058 of the family's 1533-position model. The record is from RNAcentral.
AGUGGCGGACGGGUGAGUAACACGUAGGUACCUGCCUUGAGCGGGGACAACACUGGAAACGGUGCUAAUACCCAUAUGUCUUCGGGAUGAAAGCUCUGGCGCCUUGAGAUGGGCCUGCGGCUUGAUUAGCUAGUUGGUGGGGUAAAUGCCUACCAGGCGACGAUCAGUAGCUGGUUUGAGAGGAUGAUCAGCCACAAUGGAACUGAGACACGGUCCAUACUCCUACGGGGAGGCAGCAGUAGGGAAUUUUGCGCUAUGGGCGAAAGCCUGAACGCAGCAACACCGCGUGAGUGAUGAAGUUUUCGGAGUGUAAACUCUGUUCAGUGGGGACGAAAAAAAUGGACGGUACCCACAAAGCGAAGCACCGGCUAACUCCGUGCCAGCAGCCGCGGUAAGACGGAGGGUCCAACCAUUGUCCGGAAUUAUUGGGCGUAAAGCGUUCGUAGNCGGCAUGUCAAGUCUGAUGUUAAAGCCCGGAGCUCAACUCCGGUUAGGCAUUGGAUACUGGCAAGCUAGAGUACAGAAGAGGCAAGGGGAAUUCCUAGUGUAGCGGUGAAAUGCGUAGAUAUUAGGAGGAACACCGGUGGCGUAAGCGCCUUGCUGGUCUGUAACUGACGCUGAGGAACGAAAGCCAGGGUAGCAAAUGGGAUUAGAUACCCCAGUAGUCCUGGCCGUAAACGAUGGAUACUAGGUGUUGCAGGUAUCGACCCCUGCAGUGCUGCAGCUAACGCAAUAAGUAUCCCGCCUGGGGAGUACGCACGCAAGUGUGAAACUCAAAGGAAUUGACGGGGACCCGCACAAGCGGUGGAACAUGUGGUUUAAUUCGAAGCAACGCGAAGAACCUUACCAGGGCUUGACAUCCUGAGAACUUUCCAGAGAUGGAUUGGUGCCCUUCGGGGAACUCAGUGACAGGUGGUGCACGGUUGUCGUCAG